This 1856-nucleotide long non-coding RNA is filed under the name Olea europaea subsp. europaea. Lineage: Eukaryota; Viridiplantae; Streptophyta; Magnoliopsida; Lamiales; Oleaceae. The record is from RNAcentral.
CGGGAGAUAAAACAGUUUCAAGAAAGUUUGAGAAAACCUUGUAUAUUUAAAUUUUCUUAAUUUUUCAAAUUUCAAUCUUGUAUUUCAAAUUUUUAUUUCAAUAUUGUACUAUCAAUCUUUAUAUUUCAAUAAAAUUAUUUAUUCAUUUCAACAUUUGUUUAAUUUUCUCUAUCAUUGCAUCCCCUGGGCAUAAUUUGGUGUGUUGGCAAUGAGGAGUGUACCUUAGAUGUAAUAGUGAUUCAAUCCCCUUCCAUUUUUUUUUCGCCUUUUCUUGUGUUGACAAAACGACGCUAUUUUGCCUUCAGAAUUAGUAAAGAGAUGUCGUUUUGGUGUUUGAUACAAUGACGUCUUUGAUCUUCCUCAAUUCACGCAGCUUGGAUUCUAGCACAAAGCUCCUCUUUACUCUUUCUCCAUUUUCAUAUACUACAGCCAUGCCUAUCUACUUCUCCAUUACUACAAACAAUCAUCAUCAUUUCUUCUUCUCUUUAGAGUUCACUAAGGUUGUUUUCGAAUUGUAUUUAUGAUACAUAGUUUGUUUUUCUUUUCUUUUUCAAUUAUUUUCUUUUUUCAAAUUUUAAUCCAAUUUCUUAACUCUUUUAGUUACUUACAUUUCACUUUGUGUUUGGAUUUUGAUAAUUAAGGGCUCAUAACCUCCACCAGACAAAAGAACAUCAACACCAAGUCAAUUCGUAAUUUUCGAUCUAUUUUUCCCUAUAUUUUACUUUCGAUCAAGAAUGUGGAUGCAUUUCUCAUCUCGGCUUUUUUGAAAUCUUCAAAUAUCAAUUGGGUAUGAUUUAAUUCUGUAUAUUUCUUUGUCAUUGACCGGAAGUUGUGUUUUCUUCAACAUUCGGGAUUUAUGUCGUAGGUUACUAAAGAUAGAAUAUAACAAUUUGCAUUGAUCGACUUAUUUUAUUUUAUUUUAUUUAUUUAUUUAUUUUAUCGCUAUACGCUAUUGAUCGUCAGAUUAAUUUUGCAUUGUCUUGCUUAUUUUCUUAAUAUUUCUUUAAUUUAUGUCGAUCACACCAUUGGUUUGUUUCUAUUAAAUAUUCCGCUUUAGAUUUUCAAUUUUGGCUGAUACUUUAUUAGAUAAUAUUUUUUUGGGAAUUUAGUUUGAGUUGUUGUUGUUGUUUUUUUUUUUUUUUUUUGGUUACCCUUACAGUUAGAUAUGCCAGUUGGGUUGUUGAUUCAAGCAUUUGAGAAGAAGCCAUUUAAUAAUUCUUUUGGACCAUGUAGACACCAAAAGAUCGGUGUAGCAGUAGCAGUUUGUUGCGAUUUGCUAAUGGUCAUACGCACAGGCGAGCUUAAAAAUUUGAUGUCAAUUUUCAUAAAACUCCACUAUGCAAACUUUUUAGUUUUUCCAACUUUAUUUUCUCGUCCCCUUUAAUAAUUAAGUAGAUCUUUGAUUGUAUGAUGAAGCUUUUUGGUCUAUUCCGUUGAUUCAAUUAUUGAUGCUUUAAGUUCUCGAUUAUAUGAAUAUAACUUUCAAAGAAAUUUAGUGAAGAAUGAAAUUUGAAAAGGGUCAAGAAGAAGAAGAUGGGGGAGGAUGAAGAGUUUUGUUGGGAGAGAUGCAAACAAAUAGAUAAGUAGUGAAAUAAUUCGUCUCUUAAAAACAAAUAAGUGGACGCUCUUUUUGACAAUUCUGUAUGUUGAAAAUAAUAAAAAAAUCAAUCACACUAAACAACAAGAACACAAGCAAUUAUUUUACAUGGAAAAUUUUUUCCGAUGUGAGGAAUAAAAACCACGAUACCAAGUCCAGUCUGAACCUCCACUAUCAGUCAAAUAAUAGGUACACCAAGUCUUCUUUAGUCAUAACUAGAAGCUACAACAUAUAUUUCUUCAAGAUAACAACAAUUUUG